This 26-nucleotide ribosomal RNA is filed under the name Ziziphus mauritiana (Indian jujube). RNAcentral describes it as "partial 18S ribosomal RNA". Lineage: Eukaryota; Viridiplantae; Streptophyta; Magnoliopsida; Rosales; Rhamnaceae. The record is from RNAcentral.
UAGGUGAACCUGUGGAAGGAUCAUUU